AUGCCACCCAUCCUAUGUGAGGUAGAGAGCCAUUUGGGUGACUCCACCAACCAGAUGAGUGAGAGCAUCUUGCCGGGAGUGAGUGAGUCACAACACUUAGUGACUAAGGUAGUUGAGAUGGCACGUGAGGCCACUAUGAUUUCUAACGAAUUAACCUCUACUCCGAGUGUGUUUUCUACUUUGGUGUUAGAUCUCCUACAAGAUGAAGCAUCAAUUCUUGAUGAGCCCAUACCUCCAAUGGGCAAAAUGAUGGCCAUGAUAGACGAUUAUGCACCCCCACAUGGUACCAUCAAGUUGAUGAAGCUAUUGAACAAGUGUUAG
This 321-nucleotide ribosomal RNA is filed under the name Triticum aestivum (bread wheat). RNAcentral's name for it is "partial small subunit ribosomal RNA". Lineage: Eukaryota; Viridiplantae; Streptophyta; Magnoliopsida; Poales; Poaceae. The record is from RNAcentral.